Molecule: long non-coding RNA, 1527 nt
Organism: Columba livia (rock pigeon)
Lineage: Eukaryota; Metazoa; Chordata; Aves; Columbiformes; Columbidae
Exons: 3
Source: RefSeq, a predicted model, not a curated record
CAGUGUAAAGAAUCCAAAUUACAACCCUAUUUUUCACAUUAUUAUUGCCCCGCUCCAAAAACCACAUCUUUGCCAGGCCUUCCACCCUUGGCUCGUGCAACUUCACCAGCUUUUAUCUCCCUUCUUUGAGCCGCAGUUUUUCCCCGCUCAUCUUUGUAAUCUGACAUUGUGAUUUGUUCACUUGUGCGCUUGUUUUUCUGCUGGAAGAAGAUUUGCUGAAUCAUUGGGGAGGAGGCAAGAGCUCUAGAGGCAGCUGGUGGCCAGUGAUAAAACCACGGCCACAUCCAGUCGUCAGGGUUUGCAGAUGACAGCCCUUCGGUUGGAGGCCUGAGUCACAUUCCCUUCCGAGCUAAGAUUGCUGGAGAUUUUGGGAUUGAGGAAGUGGGGCUGAGGAGGUGGUGCCCCAGAAAUAUAAGUUAUUGAUCCUGUCAACCGCAAGGUGCUGUCACAUCUGGGUGUCCUUUGGAUCUGACUGAUUCACAGUCAAGCUACUACAGGCUGGAUCUAAAUAAGGAGCUGAGGCAGAGAUGUCUGACUGACACACUGGUUCACCAUGUCCACACUCCCAGGAUGGGGCCCUUUCAAGAACAGGAAUGUUCCAUCAUCUCUGACUUCCCCUUCCCCAACUGAGACAAGAGAUAACUUCUACUUUAUAAAGAGAAGAAACCAGCGGACUUGACCACUGCCAAAAAUCCCACCAGAGGUCCUAAUAUAGAAGGGUCUGGGAUAUAAGAUAAAGCCCCAUUGCUUUAAAAAUAUUCAAAAGGAAGGCAGAAUCAAUGGGGUAGGGUUUUCUAACUCAUUUUUCAUGAGGAAGCCUUGAUCCUCAGAGUUGUGUUGGCCAGUGCUGAAUGUGGCUGUUGUACUCACAACUUGCUUAGGAGACCCUGAUGCAGAGAGGAAUUAAACGGCUUAAAGGUUGCUAGUGGCCUGGAGAAGAGCAGAUUACAGGCUGGAGCAGAAACAGCUGUGAGAAAUUUGGCCAGAGAAUGGUGCAGAGACCACAUGACUCAUCUCAUGUAACUUUAGAUGCCUGCAGAUACCAGGCUCCCCAGGGCGAGAAGGAGGUGUGUUGAAGGCAUGAGUUCUGUCCUGGUUUAGAUAUAUGCUUUGGGAGGAGGUAAAUCCCUCCCUAGAUACGUUACUUGCCAGAAAGGGAACGGUUGAGUGACUAGCUCACGUAGGAGACAUCCUGCCCUUCAUCAGUGCUGCAGGUUUCCUGCCUCAUAUCCCAUGGAGGGCUUGGGACAGCACUUGCACCCAGGCAGUCAAGUGUGAUCCCAUCCUCCCAGUACAGGGUCAGGGCUUGCAAUGGGGCCACUUCUCUGUGAAAUCCCCUGAUAUGGGCAGGACCCAAGUCACCACCCUGAACCCAGCCAAAGAGCCAAAGGGAUGUGCAAGGCCCUGGAGUGCCCAGAGGAACAUAGGAAGCUUUAUGAGGUGGGCAGCCCAACGCUGGAUGGAGGAGUUGGAGUCAUCUUCCCUGGUGCAUGCACUGGCAGCGGGAGCUCCAGCAGAGACCGGGGG